GUCGAACGAGACUUUUUAUUUGAUGCUUGCAUCUUUUAAAAAGUUGAGUGGCGAACGGGUGAGUAACACGUGGGUAACCUGCCUUAAAGUGGGGGAUAACACUUGGAAACAGGUGCUAAUACCGCAUAACCAUCAAAACCACCUGGUUUUGAUGUUAAAGAUGGUUCUGCUAUCGCUUUAAGAUGGACCCGCGGCGUAUUAGCUAGUUGGUGAGGUAACGGCUUACCAAGGCAAUGAUACGUAGCCGAACUGAGAGGUUGAUCGGCCACAUUGGGACUGAGACACGGCCCAAACUCCUACGGGAGGCAGCAGUAGGGAAUCUUCCACAAUGGACGAAAGUCUGAUGGAGCAACGCCGCGUGAGUGAAGAAGGUUUUCGGAUCGUAAAACUCUGUUGUCAGAGAAGAACGUGUGUGAGAGUAACUGUUCACGCAGUGACGGUAUCUGACCAGAAAGUCACGGCUAACUACGUGCCAGCAGCCGCGGUAAUACGUAGGUGGCAAGCGUUGUCCGGAUUUAUUGGGCGUAAAGGGAACGCAGGCGGUCUUUUAAGUCUGAUGUGAAAGCCUUCGGCUUAACCGAAGUCGGGCAUUGGAAACUGGGAGACUUGAGUGCAGAAGAGGAGAGUGGAACUCCAUGUGUAGCGGUGAAAUGCGUAGAUAUAUGGAAGAACACCAGUGGCGAAAGCGGCUCUCUGGUCUGUAACUGACGCUGAGGUUCGAAAGCGUGAGUAGCAAACAGGAUU
Molecule: ribosomal RNA, 744 nt
Filed under: uncultured bacterium
Lineage: Bacteria
Description: bacterial SSU rRNA
Rfam family: Bacterial small subunit ribosomal RNA
Source: RNAcentral